This 497-nucleotide ribosomal RNA is filed under the name uncultured bacterium. Its description in RNAcentral is "partial 16S ribosomal RNA". It matches the Rfam family "Bacterial small subunit ribosomal RNA", at positions 28 to 507 of the family's 1533-position model. The record is from RNAcentral.
GAUGAACGCUGGCGGCGUGCCUAAUACAUGCAAGUCGAGCGAACAGACGAGGAGCUUGCUCCUCUGACGUUAGCGGCGGACGGGUGAGUAACACGUGGAUAACCUACCUAUAAGACUGGGAUAACUUCGGGAAACCGGAGCUAAUACCGGAUAAUAUAUUGAACCGCAUGGUUCAAUGGUGAAAGACGGUUUUGCUGUCACUUAUAGAUGGAUCCGCGCCGCAUUAGCUAGUUGGUAAGGUAACGGCUUACCAAGGCAACGAUGCGUAGCCGACCUGAGAGGGUGAUCGGCCACACUGGAACUGAGACACGGUCCAGACUCCUACGGGAGGCAGCAGUAGGGAAUCUUCCGCAAUGGGCGAAAGCCUGACGGAGCAACGCCGCGUGAGUGAUGAAGGUCUCCGGAUCGUAAAACUCUGUUAUUAGGGAAGAACAAAUGUGUAAGUAACUAUGCACGUCUUGACGGUACCUAAUCAGAAAGCCACGGCUAACUACGUG